AGAGUUUGAUCCUGGCUCAGGAUGAACGCUGGCGGCGUGCUUAACACAUGCAAGUCGAACGGAGUACCCCUGAAGGAGUUUUCGGACAACUGAUGGGACUACUUAGUGGCGGACGGGUGAGUAACGCGUGAGUAACCUGCCUUGGAGUGGGGAAUAACAGCUGGAAACAGCUGCUAAUACCGCAUAAUAUGUCUGUGUCGCAUGGCACUGGACAUCAAAGAUUUAUCGCUCUGAGAUGGACUCGCGUCUGAUUAGCUAGUUGGCGGGGUAACGGCCCACCAAGGCGACGAUCAGUAGCCGGACUGAGAGGUUGGCCGGCCACAUUGGGACUGAGACACGGCCCAGACUCCUACGGGAGGCAGCAGUGGGGAAUAUUGGGCAAUGGGCGCAAGCCUGACCCAGCAACGCCGCGUGAAGGAAGAAGGCUUUCGGGUUGUAAACUUCUUUUCUCAGGGACGAAGCAAGUGACGGUACCUGAGGAAUAAGCCACGGCUAACUACGUGCCAGCAGCCGCGGU
Molecule: ribosomal RNA, 517 nt
Filed under: uncultured bacterium
Lineage: Bacteria
Description: bacterial SSU rRNA
Rfam family: Bacterial small subunit ribosomal RNA
Source: RNAcentral